GAGUUUGCCAUCUCCCUAUCACUACCACCGCCACCACACAUAGCACCCUUAAGACUCCCUGUGAUCCUGGGAUGCACUCAAUGAAGAGUGUGUGACCCAGGAUUUGAUGGAAAUGCUACAAGAGAAGCAGGCUCUCCUCUUCUGAAAUGGUAAGUGAUAAUGACCAUACAGGUCAACUUUUCCACCAGUUGGAGGGAGCCUGUCAAAGAACAAAGGCAACAGAGAAGAGAGCAGAGCUGAGGUUGGGUGAGAGGGAGAAAUUCCUGAGUGCUUGAAUCCCACAUGCCGGAAGCCGCACCACACUUGGGCUUCUCAAUACAGGAGCCAGCAUUUAUUGGCAGGCUACAUCUAAGACUUUCUCUGUAGAAAAAUGUUCUAGAUGCACAGAUUUGGGGGCUUGAUUGACAACCUGACGCCUCACUCUAAAUCCGCA
Long non-coding RNA from Pongo pygmaeus (Bornean orangutan), 433 nucleotides. RefSeq lists it as uncharacterized. The transcript has 3 exons. NCBI's taxonomy places the organism in Eukaryota, Metazoa, Chordata, Mammalia, Primates, Hominidae. The record is from RefSeq and is a predicted model, not a curated record.